RNAcentral lists this ribosomal RNA (224 nucleotides) under uncultured bacterium. Its description in RNAcentral is "partial 16S ribosomal RNA". It matches the Rfam family "Bacterial small subunit ribosomal RNA", at positions 524 to 747 of the family's 1533-position model. The record is from RNAcentral.
UACGGAGGGUGCGAGCGUUGUCCGGAAUCACUGGGCGUAAAGGGCGCGUAGGCGGCGCGGAAAGUCGUCGGUGAAAGCUCGGGGCUCAACCCUGAGUCUGCCGGUGAUACUCCCGCGCUCGAGCUCACUAGAGGCAGAUGGAAUUCCGGGUGUAGCGGUGGAAUGCGUAGAGAUCCGGAAGAACACCGGUGGCGAAGGCGGUCUGCUGGGGUGAGGCUGACGCU